CUUGAUGGUGAAAUAAGAAGUGACAGAGCAGAAGUAAACAGUGAUCAUGAACUUGAAAGUAGCACUCAAAUUCAUAACCAUGUCAAUAUCCAGGACACAAAUAGCAGUCCUAAUGAAGAGAUGCUGCAGCUCAGAGUCAGCAACAACUCAAUGUACUCUCAAUAUAAAUGCAACAAACUCCCCAAAACAUUCCAAAGUAUUCAAGAACUUCAAUAUUCCCAUACAUCCCUACACGGCCACCAAUGGCAUCACAUGCUGCCAGCUGAAAAAGAUGAACAUAUUAAGCUGUCAAACACAGAAAAUAAGACUCCUAGUAAACUGACUCGCUCAAUCAGAGAUGCAGCAUUUGUUCCAUUAGCCUUUCAAGGACAGUCCUUACUUGACAUGCUCAGAUCCUUUGUUUCCUGAGUUUCAUGCCCACAUUUAGGGCAAGGAGGCUCUUUUCCCUUUUCUUGCUUAAAAACCUUGCUUCGGGUGUGAUCAUCACAGAAACAAGCCUGAAGGGUGAAAAAGAGGAUAAUGAAAAGGAUAAAAGUUAUAGUCAUAACAUAAUACUCUUCAGGAAGCAGCAGGCAAAAAAAAAGUUAAAUUUCUAACAGCACCAGGGUAAUCUGGCUGAGAUUAAAAUUUAACUAGUUCUUUCUAUAGUGGGACUGGAAUUCAUGUACAAUCUAUCCACUAACUGCUUCUGUGCUGGACAAGGUUCCACUGCCUUCUAAGGAAGGGAAGCCAGGAGGAUGCUGGAACUGGGAAAAGAGGAUGGUGGCAGAGGAAGCAGGGUCCUCAAGCAGGGUCCCUGUCUUGGAAGUUGUCAGCCAGGAGGCUGGCCUCAGUCAAUGGGAGCACUGUCUGAUAGACCUCAGCCAUAUGGGUAUUGGGUUAGUCCAACAAGUUAAAAGAAAACAAAAUUAAACUUCAAAUGUCUGUCUUGCAGGGCAGUGUGUUCACUGUCCUGCUAAAUGGAACCUCUCCCUCCCACAGUCAGUCGGUUUGUAAUUAAAAGAAGACACCAAUGUGAAUUAGUACUAAUUAAGCACCAACAGUGUCCUCAGCACUGUCCAGGACACCUCAAUAAAGACAGUUCCUGCUCUGAACUCUGAGGAGCACACAGUAAGAAUAGGAGACUGAGAGAAUGGGGUUAAGUAGAUUGAUUUUUAUUUAUUUAAAUUGCUCCCCUAAUGAAAAAUGUUGGGGUAGACAGUACAUUUGAUUUGAUGUAAGACUUUAGGCAUGAUCCAAAAGAGGAAAAGGUGGAGGCCUGGGAUACUGGAAUGGGAGAAUCAUACGCUCCGUGCAGAGGAAACAGCAUUGAAGACUGUAUGAAAAUGGGAGCAGGAAACAACUGAGAAGAGCCUGGCUACACUAACAGAACUGAAGGAUGCAGCGGGUAGAUACGGUGUGUUUGUGGGGGUAGAGGAAAAUAAUACCAAGUGAGCUGAGAGAUGCAGGCCCUCAAAAGCAAAAAUGAGAAAUUUAAAAACUUAAGUGCUGGACAAAAGGUUCAUUAAAAGUAAUGGCUCUUACCUCAUACAGAAGGUAUGAGUUUUCUAUAUAUUGUGGAGGGAGAUGUGACAAGACUUGGUACCAGAAGGACAUGUAAGGAGAAGGAGUUACAAUUAUAGUUACUUUAAGUAUCUAUAUUUUUACCUUACAACGCAGGCAUGAAUGCUGCCCAAGCCGAUUACAGGAAACACCUGAUGAAAAAAUGGAUAACAUCAAUCUUUAAAAAUGAAAGAUGUUCCAGCUGAUCCACAAGGAAUCUGGGGAAGUGCAGCCAUGCUAGACAGAGCCAACCUUAUUUCUGAGGGACCGACAAGAAAAACUCCUGUUGCCUAACCAGCUGGGAUAAUUCAACUGGACAAGUGAAAUACCAGGCCAUUUUUCACCACCUAAGCAGAAUGUGCCCAUGUAUCCGCUUGGGCUAUCAGUGGGCUCGUUCCACUUGAGGGGCAUGUGGUUUGAGGGGAGAUGAAGGUAAGGCAUAAUACCUCUUUCACUUUUACACCCAGUAGCUAGAAAUGUAUCCAGAUUCUAAUCAAGUCCUUUCAAUAUUCAGCUCACGUUCUCGGCAUUCACUUCUGCAGGACUUAAUCUAAUCAACUGUGCUUUGGUUUUGCUGUUUUAUUUUUUCCAUUAAUGUCUUGAAUCUUAUGCAUGAAAAAUAGCUUUCUCCCCUAUAAUUUAUGGAUAUGAUCUUGCAGCCUUGUUGACAUAUAUGAGAUAAUGCUCUGGCAAAAAUACAAUUUCUCAAAUCAAAAACCACUCAAGCUAUUCUUACAGCUUAAAUCAACUAUUUAGAUUUUAUAACAAACUCUAUACUAGAACUCUGACCUCUUAAGAUAGUAAAGGUCAUAUAACAUAUGAAAAGUAAGGCAAAAAUUAAGUAAACCGUUUAUAACCAAUUUAAUUUUACAGUCAAAGUUACAAGACUACACAAACUACAAACCUCAAUAAACUGCAAUUUUAAUAUUUAACAGACAGAAGAUUUCCUACCUCACAUAUGAGAGCAACUUCACAAUAUACUGUAUGCAUAGAGAUUUAAUGGAGUUACAUCAACAUAAAACUGACAUUUUGGAGUGGAGAAUCAGGCCCAGAGAGUUAAGAUUCAAUGAAAAAUCUGUUAUAUUUAAGGCACAAAAUGAUUUUGUUAUUGCAAACAGUCCACUACCUAGAGGAGGCAGCUGCAGGGAUAUAUUUUCAUAAAUUUUCCACACAGGAGCACCAUCCCCCUAAAUUUUAAAUUUUUAAGAAUUUCUUUUGCAAUAUUCCCAUUUACAAAGAAUACUUUGGGUAUUUCAAAGGGACUUAUCACCUAACUAUAUAAGGGAUGAAAAGGGAAAAAUAAGCUACUGAUUUACAGAACAAUCACUGUAAAUAAAAUUAUUUAUGGUUAAACAUUGUUCUCAGUGACUGCAUUCUAAAAAUCUACAAACCUCCAUUAGCUUCAAUGGCAUUAAUCUAGAUUUAUACCAGUUGAAUGGAGAGUGGAAUGUGCCCUUUAUUUAUUUAGGCUCCAAUCCUGUACAUGCUUAACUUUACUUAUGUGAA
Molecule: long non-coding RNA, 3048 nt
Organism: Mauremys mutica (yellowpond turtle)
Lineage: Eukaryota; Metazoa; Chordata; Testudines; Geoemydidae
Exons: 3
Source: RefSeq, a predicted model, not a curated record